CAAAAUAGGGCUGGGGAAGUGACUCAGUGCCUGAGUACCCCUGAAUUCAAUCCCUGGUACCACUCCCCCGUAAAAAAACAAACAUACUUCAAGGGCUGAGAAUGAGUCAAUGAGAGAGCACUUGUCUAGCAUGUGUGAGGCCUUGGGUUUCGUUCCUGGCACCACAAAAAAAGAAAAAAAAUCAAAACUUGAGUUAUUCUGUGAUGAUUCCUAAAUUUAUGUCCCUAAUUGUGAACUCCACAUGUGUAAUGCUAAUUAUAUACUAAUGCCAUCCAUAGUUUCCUCAAGCACCUCAAACUCAGGACAUCCAAAACUAGUGUCCACAAAAACUGCUGUUCUUGCAGCCUUUUUUGGUUAAUGGCAUUGCUGGCAGUACAGCUUCUCAAACUAUGGACCUCGGAUAGAUGCUUCUACCCCUCACCCCCAUAUUCAAUUAUUCACUAAUGUCUAUUGAUUCUAUCCUGAAAUGUCUCUCUUAGCCAUCCUUUCUUGGUCUUUCCACUGCUCCAAUUGUAGCUAUAGUAAUUUCUUACCUGGAACUUUGCAUUUACCUCCAGAUUGGUCUCUCUGCCUCUUAUCUCUUCUUUUUCCAAUUCUUCAUUCUAAAAUACUUGACAUACCAACACAGAGGUCUGAUUGUGUCAUUCUACUUUCUUUUAAACUUUGAAGUAGAAACAAAAUAACAGGAAGCUGUCCAUAAUAUUACCUUCAGGAUGAAGAUGAGCUUUUUUUGCACUCGACCAAUGAGCCACAUCCCCAGCCCUAUUUUGUAUUUUAUUUAGAGGAAGGGUCCCACUGAGUUGCUUAGUGUCUUACUUUUGCUGAGGCUGGCUUUGAACUCACAGUCCUCCUGCCUCAGCCUCACAAGCCACUGGGAUGACAGGUAUUUGCCCUCUUGCCUGGC
RNAcentral lists this long non-coding RNA (904 nucleotides) under Marmota monax (woodchuck). The record is from RNAcentral. Lineage: Eukaryota; Metazoa; Chordata; Mammalia; Rodentia; Sciuridae.